This 354-nucleotide long non-coding RNA is filed under the name Homo sapiens (human). RNAcentral describes it as "HSALNT0294649". Lineage: Eukaryota; Metazoa; Chordata; Mammalia; Primates; Hominidae. The record is from RNAcentral.
CAAUAUGUUACUUUCCCUUUUCUGUCCAUAAUCCUGUCCAACCACAGGACAGUGCCCAGCAUGUAUAAACCUAUUCAGGAGGCUGCCAGCUUCACAAAUUAUCCUUGGCUCAGACUUCUCUCCUGAGCCUUUCAGCUUCCUGCUCUGUGGACCAGUUACUCUCCAGGCCAAUGGAGAAUCCCCUUUGCCACCAGCCUGGGCAUUCCCUUCACCUCUCUCCUGUGUUGGAGCUGUUCCUUCCUGGCGUUCGUGCGCUCUCUCUCUCCUGGUGUGGUGGAGCAUAUUGUCGAGUAGCUUCUUAAGACACGAUACUUGGAACAUCCUUGACUCUCUGGGGAUAUUAAUUAUUGCUUU